This 224-nucleotide long non-coding RNA is filed under the name Mytilus galloprovincialis (Mediterranean mussel). Lineage: Eukaryota; Metazoa; Mollusca; Bivalvia; Mytilida; Mytilidae. The record is from RNAcentral.
GGCAGACGGACAUGUACACCUUACAAUUCAUUCAUACACCAAAUGUAGUGACCUUAUUAGUCCCCUACUGACAAAGUUGAAGGGGACUUUAAGUUUGAAUCUGUCUGUACAGCAAAUCAGUUUUUCAUACUUUUGUUCUUCGUGCUUGAAUAUAUUGAUUUGAUAUUUGGUGUAUUGUUUUAUCAUAAGUUACAGAUCAAGUUCGUAUUUUGUUUCAGUAUGAU